This 310-nucleotide unclassified non-coding RNA is filed under the name Hevea brasiliensis (rubber tree). The record is from RNAcentral. Lineage: Eukaryota; Viridiplantae; Streptophyta; Magnoliopsida; Malpighiales; Euphorbiaceae.
GGAUGAUCAGGAUUGGAACUCCGUGUCAACCCUGGGUACUGAAAUGGCUGAGGGAAGCCAAGUACCUCAAUCUGUUAUUUCCAUGCACAUUGCAAGGCAUCAUCUGCCUGAAUACGAAGGUGCUCAGCCAAGUGGAUCCGACUCAAUAAUGCCCAUUGCACCAAUGCUCAUAGGGCCUGGUUCUCGGCAAAGAAUGACUGAUAAUUCUGGGGUUUUUGCAUUUUAUCCCACCGGACCACCAGUUCCCUUUCUUACAAUGCUCCCAGUAUAUCCUGAUGCAUCAACCAGCCACUUUGGAAGAGAAGAAUGC